GGGCCCGUAGAUCAGCCUGGAAGAUCGCCUGCUUUGCAAGCAGGAGGCCUCGGGUUCAAAUCCCGACGGGUCCACCA
RNAcentral lists this transfer RNA (77 nucleotides) under Marine Group III euryarchaeote CG-Epi1. RNAcentral's name for it is "tRNA-Ala". It matches the Rfam family "tRNA". From Rfam's summary of the family: Transfer RNA (tRNA) molecules are approximately 80 nucleotides in length. Their secondary structure includes four short double-helical elements and three loops (D, anti-codon, and T loops). The record is from RNAcentral. Lineage: Archaea; Methanobacteriati; Thermoplasmatota; Thermoplasmata; Candidatus Thermoprofundales. RNAcentral also lists the same sequence under 12 other names.